GUGAGGAAUAUUGCGCAAUGGAGGCAACUCUGACGCAGCCAUGCCGCGUGCAGGAAGAAGGCGCUACGCGUUGUAAACUGCUUUUAACCGGGAAGAAACCCCAGGACGUGUCCUGGGUUGACGGUACCGGAGGAAUAAGCACCGGCUAACUUCGUGCCAGCAGCCGCGGUAAUACGAAGGGUGCAAGCGUUAUCCGGAUUCAUUGGGUUUAAAGGGUGCGUAGGCGGAGCGUUAAGUCAGUGGUGAAAUCCUGCAGCUUAACUGUAGACUUGCCAUUGAUACGGGCGCUCUUGAUUGCGCUUGAAGUGGGCGGAAUGUGCCGUGUAGCGGUGAAAUGCUUAGAUAUGGCACAGAACACCAAUUGCGAAGGCAGCUCACUAAGGCGAUACUGACGCUGAGGCACGAAAGCGUGGGGAUCGAACAGGAUUAGAAACCCGAGUAGUCC
Molecule: ribosomal RNA, 445 nt
Filed under: uncultured bacterium
Lineage: Bacteria
Description: bacterial SSU rRNA
Rfam family: Bacterial small subunit ribosomal RNA
Source: RNAcentral